GACGAACGCUGGCGGCGUGCUUAACACAUGCAAGUCGAGCGGAGCGGCGAACGGGUGAGUAACGCGUGAGUAACUGCCCCCCUCUCAGGGCUAACAGUUGGAAACGGCUGCUAAUACCGGUAAGUUGGGGAUGACUCGCGUCCAACCCGCUUGUUGGUGGGGUAGUGGCCUACCAAGGCGACGCCGGGUAGCCGGCCUGAGAGGGCGACCGGCCACAUUGGGCUGGGGUACGGCCCGAAGUCCUACGGGAGGCAGCGGUGGGGAAUAGUGCACAAUAGGGGAAACCAUGAUGCAGCAACGCCGCGUGCGGGAGGACGGCCUUCGGGUUGUAAACCGCUUUCAGCCAUGACGCGGUAGUGGCAGAAGAAGCACCGGCUAACUACGUGCCAGCAGCCGCGGUAAUUC
Molecule: ribosomal RNA, 405 nt
Filed under: uncultured bacterium
Lineage: Bacteria
Description: partial 16S ribosomal RNA
Rfam family: Bacterial small subunit ribosomal RNA
Source: RNAcentral